GAUGAACGCUGGCGGCGUGCCUAAUACAUGCAAGUCGAGCGAACAGACGAGGAGCUUGCUCCUCUGACGUUAGCGGCGGACGGGUGAGUAACACGUGGAUAACCUACCUAUAAGACUGGGAUAACUUCGGGAAACCGGAGCUAAUACCGGAUAAUAUAUUGAACCGCAUGGUUCAAUAGUGAAAGACGGUUUUGCUGUCACUUAUAGAUGGAUCCGCGCCGCAUUAGCUAGUUGGUAAGGUAACGGCUUACCAAGGCAACGAUGGUUACCCGACCUGAGAGGGUGAUCGGCCACACUGGAACUGAGACACGGUCCAGACUCCUACGGGAGGCAGCAGUAGGGAAUCUUCCGCAAUGGGCGAAAGCCUGACGGAGCAACGCCGCGUGAGUGAUGAAGGUCUUCGGAUCGUAAAACUCUGUUAUUAGGGAAGAACAAAUGUGUAAGUAACUAUGCACGUCUUGACGGUACCUAAUCAGAAAGCCACGGCUAACUACGUG
Molecule: ribosomal RNA, 497 nt
Filed under: uncultured bacterium
Lineage: Bacteria
Description: partial 16S ribosomal RNA
Rfam family: Bacterial small subunit ribosomal RNA
Source: RNAcentral